CUGGCCUAACCCGGUCACACCUUCACGUGCCGCCCAAAACCCCAUUUAAGAAAAAAAAACACAGAAAGGAACAGUUCACAGUCCCAUAGUCUGCACUCUGCAGUCACUUCGGUGUUAAGAAGAACCCACAACCAGGGAAAAAAAAAAAUCCUUCAUGAUUUCUUAGGAGUUAGGGCUGCUUCAGUGGGAUUUCUUUCCCUUUUUAUUUUUUCUUUUCACAAUCUCUGCAACAUGCAUUUGCCAGUGGAAAAAGGCCAGAAUCCCCUGAAACGCAGCUUCUCUGAAAUCACUGAUGAUCAUGGUAUCAGACACAAGUGUAUGAGGUUGCUAGGAGGAGGAACACAAUAGCUGUGAUGGAGACAGGUUCUGGGAAGACAAUGAUGGCUGUGAUGCUCAUUGAUGAAAUUGGUCAAGCUAUCAAAUCAUCUGGUGACAACAAAUUGACCACACCAGUUUUGAAGUGGAGGAGUAUUAUGGAGCCAAGGGGGUUGAUGCAUGGGAUAAGGAGCAUUAGGAAAAGGAAUUUUAAACCCAUGAUGUACUGGUUAUGACACCCCAGAUUCUUUUGGAUGCCUUAAGAAAGGCAUUCUUGACCAUAGAAGCAGUAUGCUUGAUGAUUAUGGAUGAGUGCCAUCGGGCUACCAGAAACCACCCUUAUACAAAGAUAAUGAAGGUUGAUUUCGUUGCUGUAUUCCUCCCAUUUCUUUGUUGUGAUUUGUUACAAAAUAUGCAUAGUUAUAUCAUUUGUAGUCGACCAACUUGACAAUAUUUUGUCUUCCCUCUUGUUUCAAUGUAGUACUAUGUUUUUUGUUUAUAUAAAGGCUUGCUCUUUACAUGUC
Long non-coding RNA from Rosa chinensis, 839 nucleotides. RefSeq lists it as uncharacterized. The transcript has 3 exons. The record is from RefSeq and is a predicted model, not a curated record. NCBI's taxonomy places the organism in Eukaryota, Viridiplantae, Streptophyta, Magnoliopsida, Rosales, Rosaceae.